Molecule: ribosomal RNA, 464 nt
Filed under: uncultured bacterium
Lineage: Bacteria
Description: partial 16S ribosomal RNA
Rfam family: Bacterial small subunit ribosomal RNA
Source: RNAcentral
CUACGGGCUGCUCCAGUGAGGAAUCUUGGACAAUGGACGAAAGUCUGAUCCAGCGACACCGCGUGGGGGAUGAAUGCCUUCGGGUUGUAAACCCCUUUUCUGGGGAAAGAAUAAAGGCGGGAGGAAAUGCCCGUCUGAUGACGGUACUCCAGGAAUAAGCAUCGGCAAACUUCGUGCCAGCAGCCGCGGUAAGACGAAGGAUGCAAGCGUUAUCCGGAGUUACUGGGCGUAAAGGGCGUGUAGGCGGUUGAGUAAGUCACCUGUGAAAGCCCUCGGCGCAACCGAGGAACGUCGGGUGAUACUGCUUGGCUUGGGUGUAGGAGAGGAGAGUGGAACUCACAGAGUAGCGGUGGAAUGCGUAGAUACUGUGAGGUACCCCGAUGGCGAAGGCAACUCUCUGGCCUACUACCGACGCUGAAGCGCGAAAGCGUGGGGAGCAAAGGGGAUUAGAUACCCGUGUAGUC